AUUUUUAAAGCGCCAGAACUAAACCAUGAACGGAAAUGGUGACAUUCCAAUAGGAUAUUGUCACGGGUUUAGUUGACGAGGAGGAGGUUUAUCGAAGUUUCGGCGGAUGCCUCCCGGUUGACUCCAAUCACGACCGAAAAAUCCUUUUAGGUAAAACAGAGGGGUGACUCUCUGCACAAACGGAAGGAU
Molecule: non-coding RNA, 189 nt
Filed under: uncultured Ferdinandcohnia sp.
Lineage: Bacteria; Bacillati; Bacillota; Bacilli; Caryophanales; Bacillaceae
Description: glmS glucosamine-6-phosphate activated ribozyme
Rfam family: glmS glucosamine-6-phosphate activated ribozyme aptamer
About the family: This entry contains a glucosamine-6-phosphate activated ribozyme that is found in the mRNA for GlmS.
Source: RNAcentral